AAUAUUCCCAUCACUUGGAGCAAAAUAUUCAUUGAUACCAGAUGAUCGAUAUGGUACAACUAUAACUGUUGAACUUUGCAGUGUUACGUAUGAGUCAGAUCAAGAGAUGGAUGUAAAUCAAGAAUCUGAUACUGAAACUAACGAAGUUUCAAGUACACAAAAUAAUGAUGUUGCCAUA
Molecule: long non-coding RNA, 178 nt
Organism: Aphidius gifuensis
Lineage: Eukaryota; Metazoa; Arthropoda; Insecta; Hymenoptera; Braconidae
Exons: 3
Source: RefSeq, a predicted model, not a curated record